Molecule: long non-coding RNA, 716 nt
Filed under: Rattus norvegicus (Norway rat)
Lineage: Eukaryota; Metazoa; Chordata; Mammalia; Rodentia; Muridae
Description: long non-coding RNA NONRATT017648
Source: RNAcentral
CAAGGCCACAAGGUACUUUAUUUUUUCAUAGGAACAACCAACCCUGUUAAGGCCAGAGACAGAAAUUAACAUGACAUGGAUGAGAAAAAUCAAGGAACAUAUGUAGGCCACAGGCAGACUCAUUCUCCCCUGGGAUGGAUGUCCUCCGUCCCUGGGGAUAUGUAGCUGUAAGCUAUGGUUACUGAUUAGGAGCUGGGACCUCUGUAGCUUAACUGCUGGACUGAGGCUGAAACCCAAGAGCUCUCAAAGGACUACUCAUGGGAUAGUGGUGGGCACCCUUAACUUAAAUGGACUCGUGGUUUGUUUUGGUGGGAGGUUGUGGUUUUUUAGGUGUAUUUCGAACCCCUGUCUGCCUGUGUGGCGUUCCAUUUGGACUAAGACCACUUGCUGUCCUGGCUUCCUCUUUGCCAGGAUCAUGGAGAAGUCCCUGUCAGUCAGCAGGUACCAACCUGACUCCACAUGUUUCUCUCUCACACACAUACAUAGAUUGGGCACCUCGAUUCCUAAUGUGCCUCCUUGAUUGUCUAUAUCCCACACCCAGUCCAGUCCAGUUCUAGAGUCAGGGAAAACUCGGGAGUUAUUGGCUAAUCAGCCAGCCUGGAGAGGCCCCUCCGAAGCCCGAUGAUGUCUCUGUUGUACACACAUUUUGUAGUGUUUGAUGAAGAACUCCAUCAAAUUAAGGAAAUCCAAGUGGCUAGGAUAGGGAAGACUCUGGU